This 330-nucleotide ribosomal RNA is filed under the name Nostoc sp. 3335mG. RNAcentral's name for it is "bacterial SSU rRNA". It matches the Rfam family "Bacterial small subunit ribosomal RNA", at positions 1 to 362 of the family's 1533-position model. Lineage: Bacteria; Bacillati; Cyanobacteriota; Cyanophyceae; Nostocales; Nostocaceae. The record is from RNAcentral.
AACUUGAGAGUUUGAUCCUGGCUCAGAACGAACGCUGGCGGCAGGCUUAACACAUGCAAGUCGAACGCAUCGCAAGAUGAGUGGCAGACGGGUGAGUAACGCGUGGGAAUCUACCCAGUUCUACGGAACAACAGAGGGAAACUUCUGCUAAUACCGUAUACGCCCUACGGGGGAAAGAUUUAUCGGAAUUGGAUGAGCCCGCGUAAGAUUAGCUAGUUGGUGGGGUAAUGGCCUACCAAGGCGACGAUCUUUAGCUGGUCUGAGAGGAUGAUCAGCCACACUGGGACUGAGACACGGCCCAGACUCCUACGGGAGGCAGCAGUGGGGAAU